This 241-nucleotide long non-coding RNA is filed under the name Capsicum annuum. RNAcentral's name for it is "long non-coding RNA (CANN_LNC019634)". Lineage: Eukaryota; Viridiplantae; Streptophyta; Magnoliopsida; Solanales; Solanaceae. The record is from RNAcentral.
GCUAGAGGAAAACUUAAGGUCAUAGCCUUCUUGAAAAACUCAAACUCAUUCUUGAUAUGGAUAUAACAAUCAAACAACUUUCAAGAACAUGAUAUUAAAAUCUCAAUACUUGAUAUUUGGGCUCAAAACUUCAUGCUUUAAACUCAUGACAAUUCGUAACAACACUUUAUGCUCAACAUCAUUCUUGAUAUAUUUCAAAAAUAUCACUCCAUAAAAUGAGAACUGCAAUUCAUGGUAUAAA